GAUGAACGCUGGCGGCGUGCCUAAUACAUGCAAGUCGAGCGAACGGACGAGAAGCUUGCUUCUCUGAUGUUAGCGGCGGACGGGUGAGUAACACGUGGAUAACCUACCUAUAAGACUGGGAUAACUUCGGGAAACCGUAGCUAAUACCGGAUAAUAUUUUGAACCGCAUGGUUCAAAAGUGAAAGACGGUCUUGCUGUCACUUAUAGAUGGAUCCGCGCUGCAUUAGCUAGUUGGUAAGGUAACGGCUUACCAAGGCAACGAUGCAUAGCCGACCUGAGAGGGGGAUCCGCCCCACUUGAACUUGAGCACCGUUCAGACUCCCACGGGAGGGCAGAGUUGGGGAUCUUUCCCAAUGGGCCGAAGGCUGACCGAGCCAACCCGCGGGGGUUAAUGAAGGCCUCCGGUUGUUAAAACCUUUUUUUUGGGAAAAAACUUAUUGGUAGUUACCUUUGACAUUUUGGCGGUACCCUAACAAGAAGGCCCGGCUUACUUCCUU
Molecule: ribosomal RNA, 497 nt
Filed under: uncultured bacterium
Lineage: Bacteria
Description: partial 16S ribosomal RNA
Rfam family: Bacterial small subunit ribosomal RNA
Source: RNAcentral